CCUACGGGAGGCAGCAGUGGGGGAUAUUGCACAAUGGGGGAAACCCUGAUGCAGCGACGCCGCGUGUAGGAAGACGGUCCUCUGGAUUGUAAACUACUGUCCCCAGGGACGAAGAUGACGGUACCUGGGGAGGAAGCUCCGGCUAACUACGUGCCAGCAGCCGCGGUAAUCCGUAGGGAGCGAGCGUUGUCCGGAAUUACUGGGUGUAAAGGGAGCGGAGGCGGGGAUGCAAGUUGGGUGUUAAAUCUACCGGCUAAACUGGUAGUCGCACUCAAAACUGAAGCUCUGGAGUGAAGUAGAGGCAGGCGGAAUUCCUAGUGUAGCGGUGAAAUGCGUAGAUAUUAGGAGGAACACCAGUGGCGAAGGCGGCCUGCUGGGCUUUUACUGACGCUGAGGCUCGAAAGUGUGGGGAGCAAACAGGAUUAGAUACCCCGGUAGUC
RNAcentral lists this ribosomal RNA (440 nucleotides) under uncultured bacterium. Its description in RNAcentral is "partial 16S ribosomal RNA". It matches the Rfam family "Bacterial small subunit ribosomal RNA", at positions 338 to 795 of the family's 1533-position model. The record is from RNAcentral.